RNAcentral lists this small RNA (720 nucleotides) under Pongo abelii (Sumatran orangutan). RNAcentral's name for it is "retained intron". Lineage: Eukaryota; Metazoa; Chordata; Mammalia; Primates; Hominidae. The record is from RNAcentral.
AGAGGUGACGCUUCUUUGGGGGCGGGCUGGAAUUUUCUGGCCGUGAAUGGCAGAGCGCUAAUGGCCGCCUCCAAUGUGGCCCAAUCAGAAAGGAAGGCUGGGAACUAAGAAGCUAUUGGUUGGUGAUCCCUGGACCAAUCGGAGGAGCAGUGAUUUGGCGGGAGUCUUGACCGCCGCCGGGCUCUUGGUACCUCAGCGCGAGCGCCGGGCGUCCGGCCGCCGUGGCUAUGUUCGUGUCCGAUUUCCGCAAAGAGUUCUACGAGGUGGUCCACAGCCAGGUGACGCCCAGUCCGGGACCCCCGCCGAGGCCUUGCUGGUGGGGAAGGGAUGAGGGGGAGCGGCCGUGGGUGACCGGGAGGCAGGGGAGGGCCGGGGUUCGGGUCGCCGCGUUCAGCCGGUCUGCUCUUCCCCCGAUAGAGGGUCCUUCUCUUCGUGGCCUCGGACGUGGAUGCUCUGUGUGCGUGCAAGAUCCUUCAGGCCUUGUUCCAAUGUGACCACGUGCAAUAUACGCUGGUUCCAGUUUCUGGGUGGCAAGAACUUGAAACUGCAUUUCUUGAGCAUAAAGAACAGUUUCAUUAUUUUAUUCUCAUAAACUGUGGAGCUAAUGUAGACCUAUUGGAUAUUCUUCAACCUGAUGAAGACACUAUAUUCUUUGUGUGUGACACCCAUAGGCCAGUCAAUGUCGUCAAUGUAUACAACGAUACCCAGAUCAAAUUACUC